Lineus longissimus is the source of this 318-nucleotide long non-coding RNA. RefSeq lists it as uncharacterized. NCBI's taxonomy places the organism in Eukaryota, Metazoa, Nemertea, Pilidiophora, Heteronemertea, Lineidae. The transcript has 3 exons. The record is from RefSeq and is a predicted model, not a curated record.
AUGUGAUGCUUCAGUUGAUUCGAGACGCUACAUGUGUAUAGGCCCAGUACGUCGACAUCAUUGAUCCGGCAGUGAACAAGAUAAGUGGUUCAGCCUCCAAGAUGUGUCACCAGAAAUGCAACCGACAUUAUAGACAGGCGUGAUUACUACUCUGAUUUUGGACUGAUGGUAUACUCGUCUUCAAAAUGGACCUGACUAGGAAUGAUGAUGGUGACUUCCCUCCUCAGAAAAAAGCUCGGUUGGAUUCGAAAGUUGGUGCAGGCGGUCAUUAGCGAUAUUUCGGUCGUAAACGCAAGAAGUCCAAGAAAUCCACUGACA